Molecule: small RNA, 1887 nt
Filed under: Pongo abelii (Sumatran orangutan)
Lineage: Eukaryota; Metazoa; Chordata; Mammalia; Primates; Hominidae
Description: processed transcript
Source: RNAcentral
GCAACCCGCCCAGAUGUUCAGCUCGCCCAGAGGCUGCCUCCUUGGAGAGAUUAUUUCAUUCAAUAUUUUUUAUGAAUUAUUUACCAUUUGUACUUCAAUAGUAGCAGAAGACAAAAAAGGUCAUCUAAUACACGGGAGAAACAUGGAUUUUGGAGUAUUUCUUGGGUGGAACAUAAAUAAUGAUACCUGGGUCAUAACUGAGCAACUAAAACCUUUAACAGUGAAUUUGGACUUCCGAAGAAACAACAAAACUGUCUUCAAGGCUUCAAGCUUUGCUGGCUAUGUGGGCAUGUUAACAGGAUUCAAACCAGGACUGUUCAGUCUUACACUGAAUGAACGUUUCAGUAUAAAUGGUGGUUAUCUGGGUGUUCUAGAAUGGAUUUUGGGAAAGAAAGAUGCCAUGUGGAUAGGGUUCCUCACUAGAACAGUUCUGGAAAAUAGCACAAGUUAUGAAGAAGCCAAGAAUUUAUUGACCAAGACCAAGAUAUUGGCCCCAGCCUACUUUAUCCUGGGAGGCAACCAGUCGGGGGAAGGUUGUGUGAUUACACGAGACAGAAAGGAAUCAUUGGAUGUAUAUGAACUCGAUGCUAAGCAGGGUAGGUGGUAUGUGGUACAAACAAAUUAUGACCGUUGGAAACAUCCCUUCUUCCUUGAUGAUCGCAGAACGCCUGCCAAGAUGUGUCUGAACCGCACCACCCAAGAGAAUAUCUCAUUUGAAACCAUGUAUGAUGUCCUGUCAACAAAACCUGUCCUCAACAAGCUGACCGUAUUCACAACCUUGAUAGAUGUUACCAAAGGUCAAUUCGAAACUUACCUGCGGGACUGCCCUGACCCUUGUAUAGGGUGGUGAGCACACAUCUGGCCUACAGAAUGCGGCCUCUGAGACAUGAAGACACCAUCUCCAUGUGACCGAACACUGCAGCUGUCUGACCUUCCAAAGACUAAGACUCAGGGCAGGUUCUCUUUGAGUCACAAGCUUGUCUUCCUCCAUCUGUUGACAAUUGACAGACUUUUUUUUUCCCCCCAUCAGUUGAUUUUUCUUAUUUACAGAUACUUCUUUAGGAGAAGUAAAACAAUCAUCUAGAAUUCAUUGAGUUUUGUUUCACUUUGACAUUUGGGGAUCUGGUGGGCAGUCGAACCAUGGUGAGCUCCACCUCCGUGGAAUAAAUGGAGAUUCAGCGUGGGUAUUGAAUCCAGCACAUCUGUGUGAGUAACGGAACAGUAAACACUCCACAUUCUUCAGUUUUUCACUUUUACUUACUAUUUGUAUGUUUUUCUGUAUAACAGCCUUUUCCUUCUGAUUCUAACUACUGUUAAAAUUAAUAUGUCAUUAUCUUUGCUGUUAUUGACGGCAAUAUAAUUUUAUUACAUAUGAUUAGAGGGAUGAGACAGACAUUCACCUGUAUAUUUCUUUUAAUGGGCACAGAAUGGGCCUUUGACUCUAAAUAGCACUUUUUGGGGUUCAAGAAGUAAUCAGUAUGCAAAGCAGUCUUUUAUACAAUAAUUGAAGUGUUCCCUUUUUCAUAAUUACUCUACCUCCCAGUAACCCUAAGGAAGUUGCUAACUUAAAAAACCGCAUCCCAGAUUCUGUGAAUUUAGUACAUAAACAAGUCAAAGACUUGUGGAAAAUAGGAAGUGAACUCAUAUUUUAAAUUCUCAUAAGUAGCAUUCAUGUAAUAAACAGGUUUUUAGUUUGUUCUUCAGAUUGAUAGGUAGUUUUAAAGAAAUUUUAGUAGUUACUAAAAUUAUGUUACUUUAUUUUUCAGAAAUCAAACUACUUAUGAAAAUUACUAAUAGAACUUGUUAACCUUUCUAACCUUCACGAUUAACUGUGAAAUGUAUGCCAUUUGUGCAAGACCAUGUGUCCACUUCAUUUUGUAUAAUCAC